AAACUGUUGCUGUUAGAUAGGAGCUUUUAUAGUGAAUUAUCCCUCCUAUUAUUUCUGCUCUUUGCGAAUUCAAAAAACUUUAAAAUGAAAUAUCUGGUACUUCUUUUCGUCUUCGCUGUGGUUUUAACCAACACUUAUGGCAUAGGUCCCGCCCCUAACAUCUUUUCCAGUCAUCGUGGAUUUACCAUUGGUGACAACCAAAGUCCUGCUGACAUUUUUAGAUCUCUAGGAGAUUAUUUCCACCGACUCAGUGUAAUGAAUGCUAAUGGUGCUCUUGAUUUAUAUGGUCAUCCUGCUGGGCGUUAAAUAAAACAAAUUUUUAUGUGUUAAAAGUGUUACCUACUAAAAAAUUGUUUAAUGGCAAAUGAAUAAAAAUAUUUACGAUACAA
Molecule: long non-coding RNA, 389 nt
Organism: Zophobas morio
Lineage: Eukaryota; Metazoa; Arthropoda; Insecta; Coleoptera; Tenebrionidae
Exons: 2
Source: RefSeq, a predicted model, not a curated record